ACCGAGCAGCGCGGGCCUCCGCGAUGCCUGGGACGCAGCCCGCGGGAACCCCAGGCCCCCCGUGGUGAUGUUUCCCACUGUUCCUAGCAACUCUUUCACCAUGGGUGUACAGGACAUUGGAAUGCUUGUGUCUGCUGGAGACCCUUACAGAAUCAUGCAUUGUACCGUCCGAACUGAGGAAAACAAUACAGUGUGUGAAAAAAGUCAAUGGAGGUUACAGUCAUUAACCCCUCACCCCUGAUGUGAAUGUCCAGUUCAAUGUAUAUGCACAUUAACUACUUAUCUGUAAUUGAACUGAAGUUUAUUCUUUGAAGAUCUGCCUGUGGCAAAUGACUUGAAAUGUGCUGGAAUUUGAACCAUUCCUAGGGAUCAGAAGACAUUUGUUGUUGAAUGCGGUCAGCUAAUCAUCAAAACUUUCAGUGAGAAGCAACUGAUAGCACUAACAAAAUGAAAGACGAGGACCACACAUUUGCAUCCAACAGAUAUUCUUUGGAAAGAAUAUCCUAUUUGGGAUCAGAGAGUAAACAUUAAAGCAAGAGAGGUUUGUUGUAUAUGA
Long non-coding RNA from Ochotona princeps (American pika), 556 nucleotides. RefSeq lists it as uncharacterized. NCBI's taxonomy places the organism in Eukaryota, Metazoa, Chordata, Mammalia, Lagomorpha, Ochotonidae. The transcript is spliced from 3 exons. The record is from RefSeq and is a predicted model, not a curated record.